RNAcentral lists this long non-coding RNA (1891 nucleotides) under Sinocyclocheilus grahami. Its description in RNAcentral is "lncRNA (ENSSGRG00000022248.1)". Lineage: Eukaryota; Metazoa; Chordata; Actinopteri; Cypriniformes; Cyprinidae. The record is from RNAcentral.
AUGCGAUAUAUCACGGUAAUGAAUAUGCAUGAUAUUGUUAUUGUGGGCACUUCUAAAUACCGUGAAUAAUUAUAUAUUACAAAUUAUUCCGAAUUUUGAAUGCAUUUUAAGAAUACUUUUCCCAUCAACUGGUCAAAAUGCACAACACCACUAUAUGUUGCGUGAAAGACUGUAUUAUGACAGCACUUUUUUAAAACUAAAUUUCAAUAUUGUGAUAAUACCGUAUACCGUGAUAAAAGCAUUAGCAAUUAAUCGUAACAUGAAAAUUUGAUACCGGCAUAUCCCUAAUGCUGGUGUAUAUAUUGUCAAAUGUUUCCUCCCCACAAAUUCUUUAGGGUCACUUCAUCAGUGAAAUUUAGCCUGGUAACUAUGGUCUGGAAAUCGCCUUUUCUUAGUCUGAGUUAAAUUAAAGCUUUAGUUGGAUGCUUUUCAGGAAGUAGUUCAAAGAGCAUAGGGCCAAUAGUUGAAUGGUUUAUCAAUGUGGAUAUUGUUCAGAGUUAUAAGCAUAAUGGCAAUUUACGUUUGCUUCUAUUUUGAGGUAUAUUAAAGGGUAUUAAAGUAUUUGUGCAAUUUAAAACACUGUAAAACUGAUCCACCCUUUUCUCCAUUGCCAUUGAAGAGUUUGAUUAUUCCAACAGGAUUUUUGGUGAAAAUCUAUGUGUCUAAUGGCAAAUUAACUUAAUGUGUCUUGGUGUUUUAGGGUCUGGGUGCUGUAUGAUGGAGAAUGCCCAAUAUGUUUUAAAGAAAUUAGGUUUCUUCAGAGAAACUGAGCAGAUAAAGUAGAUUUUGUGGACAUCUCACUGCCAGAAUAUGAUGGGAGCAAAUAUGGAGGAGUCAGUUAUGAGAUGGCAAUGGAGGAAAUGACUGUGAUUGAUGAGAAGAACAAGAUUCAUCGUGGAGUUCCAGCUUUCACAGUGAUGUACAGUGCGGUGGGUUUGGCUUGGCUUGGCACGUUCAUCUCUCUCCCACUGUUCAGGCCUGUAAUGGAGCGAGCGUAUGGGGUGUUUGCAAGAAACAGACUGAAGUGGACCUGCAGAGAGGGCUGCACCACUGGACACUGUGCUAAAAAAAUAGUCAUAAGGGAUAGAGAGCUUUAAAACAGACUUUCCAGGUCAAUGGAUGUAUUGGAAGUAACAACUGUUAUUGUUAUUUGUUAAGUUUAUUGCAUUUAAUAUUUAAGAGUCUGAAUAUAACGGUAAUGUCAAUAUGUGAACAGAAUAAAUGAUCUUUUAUUAAGAUCUCCAACUUAAAAAAAAACACGCACUGUGAUAUAUGUAUAUACAAUAAAUUACUCGUACUGUGAGGGAAAUGAUGCCAGAGUGUUGACACUUUGAACAGUUCUGAGGGAACGUUUUCUAAAUUUAGAAGCCUCCUGACUGGACAUCAACUGUUAAGAUGCAGAAGGACAGCUUGUCCUUUAAUGAGAAAUAGUCAGGGGUUUGGUCAGUAGUCCCUUUAAACCAACCAAUAGGAUUUUAACUUCAGAGUAGGGUGGGAUUAAAAACCACAACAGAAACAAGUGUAAACACCACAGGACGUAAUCCAAGAGAAAACAAGCAAUAUAAGUGUUUUGGAAGGAAAGUCAGCAUUUAUUUAUCACCUUGAAGUCAAGUUCAGGAGAUAAAGAGAGAGCGACAGGUAAGACAAAAUAACUAGUUUAUUUGAAAUCUACAAGUGACCCUCAAGGUUAAGUGUGCUUUGUUGAAUUGGACUUAACUUGACCUUCUGUUUUAGUGAAGAAUAAAUUAUGAUAUUUUUUAUGUUACGAGUUGUAAUCAUUACUUAAGCUACACACUGUAAACAGUCACACUCUUUAUCUUACAGAAUUACAACCAAUAGAUAGUGUGAGUGUGUGUGUGUAUAUCUCUGAUUUGUUUGUUUUAUUAAGGCC